CCUACGGGAGGCAGCAGUGGGGAAUAUUGCACAAUGGGCGCAAGCCUGAUGCAGCGACGCCGCGUGAGGGAUGACGGCCUUCGGGUUGUAAACCUCUUUCAGUAGGGAAGAAGCGAAAGUGACGGUACCUGCAGAAGAAGCGCCGGCUAACUACGUGCCAGCAGCCGCGGUAAUACGUAGGGCGCAAGCGUUAUCCGGAAUUAUUGGGCGUAAAGAGCUCGUAGGCGGUUUGUCGCGUCUGCCGUGAAAGUCCGGGGCUCAACUCCGGAUCUACGGUGGGUACGGGCAGACUAGAGUGAUGUAGGGGAGACUGGAAUUCCUGGUGUAGCGGUGAAAUGCGCAGAUAUCAGGAGGAACACCGAUGGCGAAGGCAGGUCUCUGGGCAUUAACUGACGCUGAGGAGCGAAAGCAUGGGGAGCGAACAGGAUUAGAUACCCUGGUAGUCCAUGCCGUAAACGUUGGGCACUAGGUGUGGGGGACAUUCCACGUUUUCCGCGCCGUAGCUAACGCAUUAAGUGCCCCGCCUGGGGAGUACGGCCGCAAGGCUAAAACUCAAAGGAAUUGACGGGGGCCCGCACAAGCGGCGGAGCAUGCGGAUUAAUUCGAUGCAACGCGAAGAACCUUACCAAGGCUUGACAUGAACCGGUAAGACCUGGAAACAGGUCCCCCGCUUGCGGUCGGUUUACAGGUGGUGCAUGGUUGUCGUCAGCUCGUGUCGUGAGAUGUUGGGUUAAGUCCCGCAACGAGCGCAACCCUCGUUCUAUGUUGCCAGCACGUGAUGGUGGGGACUCAUAGGAGACUGCCGGGGUCAACUCGGAGGAGGGUGGGGAUGAGGUCAAGUCAUCAUGGCUCUUACGUCCAGGCUAGAAACGUGCUACAAUGGCUGAUACAAAGGGUUGCAAGACCGCAAGGUGGAGCGAAUCUUCAUCAAGUCCAGUCUAAGUUCCGAUCG
RNAcentral lists this ribosomal RNA (952 nucleotides) under uncultured bacterium. Its description in RNAcentral is "bacterial SSU rRNA". It matches the Rfam family "Bacterial small subunit ribosomal RNA", at positions 338 to 1300 of the family's 1533-position model. The record is from RNAcentral.